AAAAGCUUCCCAAGGCGCCAACCUUCAAGAUUUAAAGGGAAGUAGGGCUGAUUUAGCUCUGUUCUGGUUCUGUUUCUGCUCAGCAUUCUCAGGUCUAAGAUUCCUGGGUUGGCUUCUGAGAGGGAGGAGACAGCCACCACAGCAAGAACAGCACCAGGAGUUUUAGAUUAAAAAUGGAAAGCAGAGAGUAGGGGAUGAGGCCUGUGGGCUGAGGACUGCCUGGCUCAGAACGGUGGAGGGAGAAGGUCAAGAGGAGGAGGGGAGCCAUCAGAGCUAACUGCCCGUCACCUGCUUGCCUUCAGAAGAUGUGCCUUCCGGGACCUGGUGGAGAGCAGAUGCCAGUGAGGUGCCUGUGGAGAGAAGGAAGCGUUUUCAUGUUCAGCCACACUUCUGCGGUCAUGCAAUUGGGCUCCAGGUGUGUGGCUGUACUGUCUCCACUCCCUGGUGAUUGGAGGAGGCUGAUCACAGUAUGGUGACACCACAUUGGAGAUGUGGCAGCUGGAUCAUCUCAGGUGAAAAUCCAUUGCCCAUCCACAAUGGAC
This 542-nucleotide long non-coding RNA is filed under the name Heterocephalus glaber (naked mole-rat). Its description in RNAcentral is "lncRNA (ENSHGLG00000025857.2)". The record is from RNAcentral. Lineage: Eukaryota; Metazoa; Chordata; Mammalia; Rodentia; Bathyergidae.